UACGUAGGGGGCAAGCGUUAUCCGGAUUUACUGGGUGUAAAGGGAGCGUAGACGGCUGUGCAAGUCAGAAGUGAAAGCCCGGGGCUCAACCGCGGGACUGCUUUUGAAACUGUGUAGCUGGAGUGCAGGAGAGGUAAGUGGAAUUCCUAGUGUAGCGGUGAAAUGCGUAGAUAUUAGGAGGAACACCAGUGGCGAAGGCGGCCUGCUGGGCUUUAACUGACGCUGAAGCACGAAAGCGUGGGUAGCAAACAGG
This 253-nucleotide ribosomal RNA is filed under the name uncultured Eubacteriales bacterium. RNAcentral's name for it is "uncultured Clostridiales bacterium partial 16S ribosomal RNA". It matches the Rfam family "Bacterial small subunit ribosomal RNA", at positions 524 to 776 of the family's 1533-position model. Lineage: Bacteria; Bacillati; Bacillota; Clostridia; Eubacteriales. The record is from RNAcentral.